This 253-nucleotide ribosomal RNA is filed under the name uncultured bacterium. RNAcentral's name for it is "partial 16S ribosomal RNA". It matches the Rfam family "Bacterial small subunit ribosomal RNA", at positions 524 to 776 of the family's 1533-position model. The record is from RNAcentral.
GACAGAGGGUGCAAACGUUGUUCGGAAUUACUGGGCGUAAAGCGUGUGUAGGCGGCCUUAUAAGUCGGAUGUGAAAGCCCAGGGCUCAACCCUGGAAGUGCACUCGAUACUGUAAGGCUCGAGUACUGGAGAGGUUGGUGGAAUUCCCGGUGUAGUGGUGAAAUGCGUAGAUAUCGGGAGGAACACCAGUGGCGAAGGCGACUUUCUGGCCUGUUCUUGACGCUGAGGCGCGAAAGCUAGGGGAGCAAACGGG